GAUCCUGGCUCAGAAUCAACGCUGGCGGCGUGCCUAACACAUGCAAGUCGAACGCAGUGUUUCCGCAAGGAAACACUGAGUGGCGAACGGGUGAGUAACACGUGGGUGACCUACCUUCGAGUGGGGGAUAACGUUCCGAAAGGAACGCUAAUACCGCAUAACAUCCUGCCUUUGAACAGGCGGAGAUCAAAGCCGGGGAUCGCAAGACCUGGCGCUUGAUGAGGGGCCCGCGUCCGAUUAGCUAGUUGGUGAGGUAAUGGCUCACCAAGGCGACGAUCGGUAACCGGCCUGAGAGGGCGGACGGUCACACUGGGACUGAGACACGGCCCAGACUCCUACGGGAGGCAGCAGUGGGGAAUUGUUCGCAAUGGGCGCAAGCCUGACGACGCAACGCCGCGUGGAGGAUGACGGUCUUCGGAUUGUAAACUCCUGUUGCUCGGGACGAAUGGCCUCGACCUAACACGUCGAGGUGUGACGGUACCGAGUGAGGAAGCCCCGGCUAACUCUGUGCCAGCAGCCGCGGUAAUACAGAGGGGGCAAGCGUUGUUCGGAAUUACUGGGCGUAAAGGGCGCGUAGGCGGCCUGUUAAGUCGAACGUGAAAUCCCCGGGCUCAACCCGGGAACUGCGUCCGAUACUGGCAGGCUUGAAUUCGGGAGAGGGAUGCGGAAUUCCAGGUGUAGCGGUGAAAU
Molecule: ribosomal RNA, 690 nt
Filed under: uncultured Acidobacteriota bacterium
Lineage: Bacteria; Pseudomonadati; Acidobacteriota
Description: bacterial SSU rRNA
Rfam family: Bacterial small subunit ribosomal RNA
Source: RNAcentral